GAGCCCCCCACCCGGGCACUCCGCCCAGCUGCCUCCCCAACGGGCUAUAAAAGCCCACAGCCAGAUGCAGGGCAGCUUUCCUGGACCCCGGGCUUGCACAGGUGACCUAAGGGACAGAAAUGCAGCUGCCAUGAACGUUUCGAGGUCCAGCGACAGUCUUUACAAAAAGUAAAUAGGGGAAGUGGUGAGAAAAUGAUCGAGCUGAAACUGGAAGGGACGCUGGAGAAGUAGAAGGUUUGUUUUCUGUUAGCGCAAGCAGAGAGAUGGGAAGUGAACGAGACAGCUGCUCCAAAGAGACAGACAAACUGACUGUUCCUGACAAGGAUGCUACAAUCUGACUAACUAGAGCUCAGACGCACGCAUAAUACUCAGGAAAAUUCAUUUUGGAACUCCCAAUACACCGUGACGAGGGCCCUUGAAGGGGUAAUUAAAAUGCAUUGAGUGGCGACUGCACCUGUUUAGAAGGGAGUAUGCUGGUAA
Chelonia mydas (Green sea turtle) is the source of this 480-nucleotide long non-coding RNA. RefSeq lists it as uncharacterized. The record is from RefSeq and is a predicted model, not a curated record. NCBI's taxonomy places the organism in Eukaryota, Metazoa, Chordata, Testudines, Cheloniidae. The transcript is spliced from 3 exons.